GGUUAAGCGACUAAGCGUACACGGUGGAUGCCCUGGCAGUCAGAGGCGAUGAAGGACGUGCUAAUCUGCGAAAAGCGUCGGUAAGGUGAUAUGAACCGUUAUAACCGGCGAUGUCCGAAUGGGGAAACCCAGUGCAAUUCGUUGCACUAUCGUUAACUGAAUACAUAGGUUAACGAGGCGAACCGGGGGAACUGAAACAUCUAAGUACCCCGAGGAAAAGAAAUCAACCGAGAUUCCCCCAGUAGCGGCGAGCGAACGGGGAGCAGCCCAGAGUCUGAAUCAGCUUGUGUGUUAGUGGAACGGUCUGGAAAGUCCGACGGUACAGGGUGAUAGUCCCGUACACCAAAAUGCACAGGUUGUGAACUCGAAGAGUAGGGCGGGACACGUGGUAUCCUGUCUGAAUAUGGGGGGACCAUCCUCCAAGGCUAAAUACUCCUGACUGACCGAUAGUGAACCAGUACCGUGAGGGAAAGGCGAAAAGAACCCCGGCGAGGGGAGUGAAAAAGAACCUGAAACCGUGUACGUACAAGCAGUGGGAGCACCUUCGGGUGUGACUGCGUACCUUUUGUAUAAUGGGUCAGCGACUUAUAUUCUGUAGCAAGGUUAACCGUAUAGGGGAGCCGCAGGGAAACCGAGUCUUAACUGGGCGUUAAGUUGCAGGGUAUAGACCCGAAACCCGGUGAUCUAGCCAUGGGCAGGUUGAAGGUUGGGUAACACUAACUGGAGGACCGAACCGACUAAUGUUGAAAAAUUAGCGGAUGACUUGUGGCUGGGGGUGAAAGGCCAAUCAAACCGGGAGAUAGCUGGUUCUCCCCGAAAGCUAUUUAGGUAGCGCCUCGUGAACUCAUCUUCGGGGGUAGAGCACUGUUUCGGCUAGGGGGUCAUCCCGACUUACCAACCCGAUGCAAACUACGAAUACCGAAGAAUGUUAUCACGGGAGACACACGGCGGGUGCUAACGUCCGUCGUGAAGAGGGAAACAACCCAGACCGCCAGCUAAGGUCCCAAAGUCAUGGUUAAGUGGGAAACGAUGUGGGAAGGCACAGACAGCCAGGAUGUUGGCUUAGAAGCAGCCAUCAUUUAAAGAAAGCGUAAUAGCUCACUGGUCGAGUCGGCCUGCGCGGAAGAUGUAACGGGGCUAAACCAUGCACCGAAGCUGCGGCAGCGACACUAUGUGUUGUUGGGUAGGGGAGCGUUCUGUAAGCCUGCGAAGGUGUGCUGUGAGGCAUGCUGGAGGUAUCAGAAGUGCGAAUGCUGACAUAAGUAACGAUAAAGCGGGUGAAAAGCCCGCUCGCCGGAAGACCAAGGGUUCCUGUCCAACGUUAAUCGGGGCAGGGUGAGUCGACCCCUAAGGCGAGGCCGAAAGGCGUAGUCGAUGGGAAACAGGUUAAUAUUCCUGUACUUGGUGUUACUGCGAAGGGGGGACGGAGAAGGCUAUGUUAGCCGGGCGACGGUUGUCCCGGUUUAAGCAUGUAGGCUGGUUAUCCAGGCAAAUCCGGAUAAUCAAGGCUGAGGUGUGAUGACGAGGCACUACGGUGCUGAAGUAACAAAUGCCCUGCUUCCAGGAAAAGCCUCUAAGCAUCAGGUAACAUUAAAUCGUACCCCAAACCGACACAGGUGGUCAGGUAGAGAAUACCAAGGCGCUUGAGAGAACUCGGGUGAAGGAACUAGGCAAAAUGGUGCCGUAACUUCGGGAGAAGGCACGCUGGUGUGUAGGUGAAGUCCCUGCGGAUGGAGCUGAGACCAGUCGAAGAUACCAGCUGGCUGCAACUGUUUAUUAAAAACACAGCACUGUGCAAACACGAAAGUGGACGUAUACGGUGUGACGCCUGCCCGGUGCCGGAAGGUUAAUUGAUGGGGUUAUCCGUAAGGAGAAGCUCUUGAUCGAAGCCCCGGUAAACGGCGGCCGUAACUAUAACGGUCCUAAGGUAGCGAAAUUCCUUGUCGGGUAAGUUCCGACCUGCACGAAUGGCGUAAUGAUGGCCAGGCUGUCUCCACCCGAGACUCAGUGAAAUUGAACUCGCUGUGAAGAUGCAGUGUACCCGCGGCAAGACGGAAAGACCCCGUGAACCUUUACUAUAGCUUGACACUGAACAUUGAGCCUUGAUGUGUAGGAUAGGUGGGAGGCUUUGAAGCGUGGACGCCAGUCUGCGUGGAGCCAACCUUGAAAUACCACCCUUUAAUGUUUGAUGUUCUAACGUUGGCCCCUUACCGGGGUUGCGGACAGUGUCUGGUGGGUAGUUUGACUGGGGCGGUCUCCUCCCAAAGCGUAACGGAGGAGCACGAAGGUUAGCUAAUCCUGGUCGGACAUCAGGAGGUUAGUGCAAUGGCAUAAGCUAGCUUGACUGCGAGCGUGACGGCGCGAGCAGGUGCGAAAGCAGGUCAUAGUGAUCCGGUGGUUCUGAAUGGAAGGGCCAUCGCUCAACGGAUAAAAGGUACUCCGGGGAUAACAGGCUGAUACCGCCCAAGAGUUCAUAUCGACGGCGGUGUUUGGCACCUCGAUGUCGGCUCAUCACAUCCUGGGGCUGAAGUAGGUCCCAAGGGUAUGGCUGUUCGCCAUUUAAAGUGGUACGCGAGCUGGGUUUAGAACGUCGUGAGACAGUUCGGUCCCUAUCUGCCGUGGGCGCUGGAGAAUUGAGGGGGGCUGCUCCUAGUACGAGAGGACCGGAGUGGACGCAUCACUGGUGUUCGGGUUGUCAUGCCAAUGGCACUGCCCGGUAGCUAAAUGCGGAAGAGAUAAGUGCUGAAAGCAUCUAAGCACGAAACUUGCCCCGAGAUGAGUUCUCCCUGAGACUUUAAGUCUCCUGAAGGAACGUUAAAGACGAUGACGUUGAUAGGCCGGGUGUGUAAGCGCAGCGAUGCGUUGAGCUAACCGGUACUAAUGAACCGUGAGGCUUAACCUU
Molecule: ribosomal RNA, 2902 nt
Filed under: Klebsiella pneumoniae
Lineage: Bacteria; Pseudomonadati; Pseudomonadota; Gammaproteobacteria; Enterobacterales; Enterobacteriaceae
Description: 23S ribosomal RNA
Rfam family: Bacterial large subunit ribosomal RNA
Source: RNAcentral